RNAcentral lists this ribosomal RNA (399 nucleotides) under Triticum aestivum (bread wheat). Its description in RNAcentral is "partial small subunit ribosomal RNA". The record is from RNAcentral. Lineage: Eukaryota; Viridiplantae; Streptophyta; Magnoliopsida; Poales; Poaceae.
AUGAGGCCAAGAAGAUCGUGUACCCUCUUGAUCUGUCGCACAUUAGAUACCAUGAAUGCAUCAACGAUUGCGUCAUUUAUCCGAAGGAGCAAGCGGAAAAAACCAGCUGUUCAGUGUGCAAUGCUUCUCAAUACAAGAAGGCCGAAAAGAAAUCUCCCCAGCAAGUUGUAUGAGAGGAAAAAGCCCGGCGAUGGAGAAGAUCUGGCGCAGGAGAAGGGCAAAAAAGUGAUCAAGAAGGAAGAUAAUUAUUGUCCCCUUUCUUACUUUAGCUUUUGUCCGAAGGAGAUCGAUCAAUUCUUCAAGUGCCUUACCAAAACCAAAGUUAGUUCCGGUUACUGUGGGAAGAUAAGCAGGUUUCUAGACACAAAGAAGAAAAGGUUAUGUGAUGAAGUCUCGUGA